Molecule: ribosomal RNA, 493 nt
Filed under: uncultured bacterium
Lineage: Bacteria
Description: bacterial SSU rRNA
Rfam family: Bacterial small subunit ribosomal RNA
Source: RNAcentral
UAGUCCACGCCCUAAACGAUGUUUACUCGAUGUUUGGACUUCGGUUUGAGCAUCCAAGGGAAACCAUUAAGUAAACCACCUGGGGAGUACGUUCGCAAGAAUGAAACUCAAAGAAAUUGACGGGGGCCCGCACAAGCGGUGGAGCAUGUGGUUUAAUUCGAUGCAACGCGAAGAACCUUACCAGGAUUUGACAUCUAGGGGAAUACUCACAGAGAUGUGGUAGUCUUCGGGCUCCUAGACAGGUGCUGCAUGGCUGUCGUCAGCUCGUGUCGUGAGAUGUUGGGUUAAGUCCCGCAACGAGCGCAACCCUUACCUUUAGUUGCCAGCAUUUAGUUGGGCACUCUAGAGGGACUGCCGACGUUAAGUCGGAGGAAGGUGGGGAUGACGUCAAGUCCUCAUGGCCCUUAUAUCCUGGGGCUACACACGUGCUACAAUGGUUGAUACAGAGGGGAAGCAAGACCGUGAGGUGGAGCAAAUCCCAUAAAGUCAAUCU